GGCUGGGCAACAUAGCGAGACCUCAACUCUACAAUUUUUUUUUUUUUAAAUUUUAGAGACGGGGUCUUGCUCUGUUGCCAGGCUUU
This is a microRNA precursor of Homo sapiens (human), 86 nucleotides long. Ensembl annotates it as microRNA 1303. The record is from Ensembl. NCBI's taxonomy places the organism in Eukaryota, Metazoa, Chordata, Mammalia, Primates, Hominidae.